Molecule: long non-coding RNA, 1153 nt
Organism: Tympanuchus pallidicinctus (lesser prairie-chicken)
Lineage: Eukaryota; Metazoa; Chordata; Aves; Galliformes; Phasianidae
Exons: 2
Source: RefSeq, a predicted model, not a curated record
GUCAGAGAUCCACAAAGAGCAGUUGUUAUGCAAUAGUUAAUAGUAAUAUUAGUGAUGGAUAACUCUUGGCUUAUUUUAGCCUGAAGAAAGAAUCUGGGAGUUCACGUGUGUAUACACACAUACUUGAGAAAAACAAGAGCAUGGGUUUGAACAGCGGUCACAGCCUGCACAAAGGAGGGCUUUUUUUGCCCAAUACAUUAUCAAAGCUGCAGUCCUGUGGCUUCCUAAAGCAACUGAAGUCUUACAUUUUAUUCUUACAACAAGUUUAAACAGUCUCAGGAAUGUUCAUGUAAAACUACAUCUUAAAUCAGAUAAAAAUCAAGUAGUUAGACAACAAAGGCAUUUAUAUAAGCAACACUAUCUUCAGGUAGAUCUCUGCUAAAGGUUCACAGCUUUAGCAAUACCCAAACCCAUAACCUCUGGCAGGAUCUUGAAAGCCUUCUGGCUGCAGGUUGUUAGGCCAGGGGCCUCUCCCUGUCUAGUCUGGGCAAUCUGCCACAGACAGAAUGACAAAGCAAAAAAUGCUUUGUAUCAUGUGCUCGCACUCCAUAAGAUUCCAUCCAUUAAUGGCAUCCAUUAAUGGCAAUUACCAUAACCCCCUGCUGGCAAAUCGAUACUUUCCUGGAAUCAGUUUGCAUGUACCGUCUCUCAGACUAAGGCUGCUCACCUGGAUCAGUGAGCUGCUCCAAGCAGUCCUCAGAGAUGCAACACUCAGGACAGCUCUCUUUGCUGGACAGAGCUUCCUCAUGCACCAAAGUCCACGCUGGUCCUGAGGCCUGGCCUCUGAACUUUAGACCCAGGUAACUCCUGGCAGGGGUGUGUGAAAAAAGGCAUGGCUGCUUUCAGAGGCCUUGACCACGGGGGCAGCUGGCAAGCCCUGCAGAACAACCUGUUUAUGAGCAGAAAUGCUCCAGGAUAAGAACUGCCUUGUUCUGCAGAAGAACACACCAAGGGAUCGAAUCAUACAGCGUGGGAUAUGCAAGCUCCAGCCCUUAGCUGCUCACCAGGAAGGGGCUGAAGGCUCUGCAAGGCAAAGGUGUGUUCUGAUUUAGUUUGGUUCCAUAUGCCACACAGCAAGACAUUAUUAAAAGGAAAGAACUCCGCAAUGUUUUUGUGACAAAAUAAUAUAAUUAAAAAAUAGCUGUCUUCAGUA